UUGACCUCGGAUCAGGUAGGAAUACCCGCUGAACUUAAGCAUAUCAAUAAGCG
RNAcentral lists this ribosomal RNA (53 nucleotides) under Trichoderma harzianum. RNAcentral describes it as "partial 28S ribosomal RNA". Lineage: Eukaryota; Fungi; Ascomycota; Sordariomycetes; Hypocreales; Hypocreaceae. RNAcentral also lists the same sequence under 44 other names. The record is from RNAcentral.